AUUGGUCCAGUUGUCUUUGGCCAAGUCGUGCUCUUGCUCUGAUUUACCCUUUCCCCUCCAGUCCUCAUGAUUGCACAAGGAACUCCGGCAAAGGGAGAAAACAACUGUUAAUGAGGAGAGAAAAGGUCAAACAGAUCAAGUAAAAGUCAUCCUGCUUCCAGCACAGAGAACAAUCGAAGCUGAUCCUGCCCAAACCAGGUGUUGGACUGAGGAUGAGACCAGGCUGAAAGAAUUUUCACCGAGAAAGGAAUAUCAAGAUUUUGACAGAGAACCAAAACAUGUAAGGUUUAGUAGGAGCCCUGAUGGAUUUUCCAACAGGU
Molecule: long non-coding RNA, 320 nt
Filed under: Chloebia gouldiae (Gouldian finch)
Lineage: Eukaryota; Metazoa; Chordata; Aves; Passeriformes; Passeridae
Description: Erythrura gouldiae (Gouldian finch) lncRNA (ENSEGOG00005017727.1)
Source: RNAcentral